UCAGAACAUAGAAUAACACACUAAACUCAUUAGACAUACAUUGUGUUAUGGCGUGAUAACAAAAAGCAGUUAAAUGUUUGUUGAAGUAUUAGUUGCAAUAAGUGCAACGUUUUCAUUACAGCACAUUUAGUCUCCACCAACCUCUUAUUUCUCCCCUUAAAAACCACUCAAACACGAUGUACUGACCACUGUGGGAGUGACCACCAUCUGACUGUCGGACUAAUGAAGAGGGCAACAACAGCACACUGACAGAUCAACAUGCCUCUGAGAAACUCUCGGACGAGCUGAGAGAGAUGGAGAAAACAUUGUCCCUUCUCCUUAACAACGGGAAGGCAGAGGAGAAGGUUCAGCAGCCGACAGCUUGUGGGGGAUGAUCGCAGUUCCUGGGCGUCACAAAAUCACAAAAACAAAGGGCUGGCCAUAAAAAUUGUCCGUCCCUGUUCCAAUAAAAGGAAGGGUGGUGAUUACACCUUGACA
Long non-coding RNA from Gasterosteus aculeatus aculeatus (three-spined stickleback), 477 nucleotides. The record is from Ensembl. NCBI's taxonomy places the organism in Eukaryota, Metazoa, Chordata, Actinopteri, Perciformes, Gasterosteidae.